Molecule: long non-coding RNA, 954 nt
Organism: Mustela erminea (ermine)
Lineage: Eukaryota; Metazoa; Chordata; Mammalia; Carnivora; Mustelidae
Exons: 2
Source: RefSeq, a predicted model, not a curated record
GAGCCACCCAGGCGCCCCCCAACUACAUUUUAUAAGGAAUAGUGAACCUUCAAUACAUAUUUGCUGAAGGAAGGAAGGAAAGAGAAAAAGGCCAUUUCCGGAUGGGAUGGUCAUGGAAGAGUUCCUGAAAGAGGAGAUGUGAGCUCAGUCCCUGAGGACCGUUGAGUUUUAGAGGAAUGAGGAGAAGAUAAGCAACAUUCCAGACAAGGAAUAAAGCACCAACUUAGCAUGCCUCUUCAUGGCAAGUUAGAUAAACAUGUUCUCUGAUUGCUAAAAAUUAACCUUCCACAAUAAAUAAAUGCCAUGUAACCAGACAUGUGAACAUACACAUAGCAGAAAAUUAACAGCAUACCUCUCCAAGAGGUAAUUUUGGGGCAAGAGGAAAAAAUAUAUAUUAUGCUAAUAAUAUAUUAUGCUAUAUAUUAUGCUAUAAAUGCUAAGAGACAGCAUUGAAAAAUAAACUAUUCGUUCUCCAAAAAGGAAACAUGACUAAAACAAAGACCACACCCUAAAAAGUUUUCCUCAAUUAUAUUGCUACAGACUAGUACAAUCAGGAGUGGAAAAUAUACCAUUUCCUGACAUGUCAAAGAGAUAUGAAUGAUUAGUGAUCACGUAGUCACAAGAUAGUGGUGGAUGCUGGUUCUCUCCUGAUGUAAAAGUUAUGUAAGUUCAGGUCUGUGUGAUCUCAUGGGGGCAAAGGUGUUACAAGUACACACAGAUCACUCACUCUGCACAUAAUACCUUCGCCCCAAAUAACCCUCUGUACCUUUUAUACAGUGAAAGAAUUACAGCUAUUAUUCUAGGCACUAGUCCCUGAAACACAGACUUGCUUGUCCUUUCAAGAAUUUUAAACUUAAGAAAAGGCAUGUGUUAUUCACAGAUGCACAACAUAUGUAAAGAGUUUUUGUUAUAAUUUUUUCUUCAUUAAAAGCAUUUGUGCUUUCUAAAUGAAAA